This 404-nucleotide ribosomal RNA is filed under the name bacterium. RNAcentral describes it as "partial 16S ribosomal RNA". It matches the Rfam family "Bacterial small subunit ribosomal RNA", at positions 355 to 776 of the family's 1533-position model. The record is from RNAcentral.
UGGGGAAUUUUGCGCAAUGGGGGCAACCCUGACGCAGCAACGCCGCGUGCGGGACGACGGCCUUCGGGUUGUAAACCGCUUUCAGCAGGGAAGAAAUUCGACGGUACCUGCAGAAGAAGCCCCGGCUAACUACGUGCCAGCAGCCGCGGUAAUACGUAGGGAGCGAGCGUUAUCCGGAUUCAUUGGGCGUAAAGAGCGCGUAGGCGGCCUCUCAAGCGGGAUCUCUAAUCCGAGGGCUCAACCCCCGGCCGGAUCCCGAACUGGGGGGCUCGAGUUCGGUAGAGGCAGGCGGAAUUCCCGGUGUAGCGGUGGAAUGCGCAGAUAUCGGGAAGAACACCGAUGGCGAAGGCAGCCUGCUGGGCCGCAACUGACGCUGAGGCGCGAAAGCUAGGGGAGCGAACAGG